UUUGUGUUUGAUACCCUGAGAAGCC
This 25-nucleotide non-coding RNA is filed under the name Cricetulus griseus (Chinese hamster). Lineage: Eukaryota; Metazoa; Chordata; Mammalia; Rodentia; Cricetidae. The record is from RNAcentral.